RNAcentral lists this long non-coding RNA (1099 nucleotides) under Homo sapiens (human). RNAcentral describes it as "long intergenic non-protein coding RNA 2492". Lineage: Eukaryota; Metazoa; Chordata; Mammalia; Primates; Hominidae. The record is from RNAcentral.
GGAUCAUCUGCUGUGGGUGUUCCUGAUCUUUGAGCCAUGAUAAUGUUACUGGUUGGAUGUCAGGAGCAGGCCAUGUGGAUGAUUAAAAGAUGAAUAUCAUAUACAGCAUGGAUAUGUUGGACAAAAAGAUGAUUCACAUCCCAGACAGAAUGGAGCAGUUGUUCUUCCAGAUGGCAUGAAUCCAACAGUGAAGAAAUCAGAAUACGUUGCUUUUGUGAGGGGCAGCUGCUGAUUUUCUCUGAGCUCCGUUUCCAGCCUUCACAUGCUCUGCUAUUCAUCACAGGGUAAAUUCUGACUAUAGGAGGUACUGACAGAAGAUUAGGGAAGAACAGAGGGCUAAAUGUUUAUUGACUUCUUGAAAAAUGCUAUGUGUCUUGCCAGACUUAGCUUACAAGUUUGGUUAAAGAGAGACUGACAUGAGCAUAAAGGAAGGGACAUUGAAAGAGGCAGAGAUGAAGGAAGAAAUUGUAACUUACUCCUUUUAUCCCACCCAUCAAAGGAAAGACAAGUUGACAGGUAUCUGCAGUCUUGCCAAUUAGGCCUGCAAAGGAAACAAACAUACGUGUGUUCCAAUCGGAGAAGUCAGAAGUCACUAAUGAUGCAGAAAAGCACAUUCCAAGUUUUGGCAAUGCCAUAUAUGUUAGAAAUUAUACUACAAUGCAGUUAGAAAAUAUAUUUUUUAAAAGUCCAAAAAGAUGAAGGAACUAUUUGGGAUCAGGCUGCAAAGCUCUUUAUUAUCUUUUUGCCACUAUAUAAAUAUGGAAAUUGAAAAUAGUAUUGAUUCUGCAACAAACUGAGAAGAAACCUGGCGAUUCACAACAGAGAGCUGAGAAAUCCUAAGUCUGGAUUCCAGCUAAAUGGGAGCAGACUAAAUAGAGCGGCAGUCGGCGAACUACAUGUAGCCCAUGAACAAAAUCCGGUCCAGCACGUGUGUUUUUUUUUACGGCCCACAAAUGAGUCUGUCUUUACAGAUGAAUGUUAAAACUGGGUUGACAAGAGAGAACACUCACUUUGAACCGCAACUAAACAAAAUAUUAUCACCUUUCCCCUCAAAAAAGGUUUUUGUUCUUCUCAUUAGUAAAUUUGUAUUAUGACAAAA